This 160-nucleotide ribosomal RNA is filed under the name uncultured bacterium. RNAcentral's name for it is "partial 16S ribosomal RNA". It matches the Rfam family "Bacterial small subunit ribosomal RNA", at positions 355 to 507 of the family's 1533-position model. The record is from RNAcentral.
UAGGGAAUCUUCCGCAAUGGACGAAAGUCUGACGGAGCAACGCCGCGUGAACGAUGAAGGCCUUCGGGUCGUAAAGUUCUGUUGUUAGGGAAGAACAAGUACCAGAGUAACUGCUGGUACCUUGACGGUACCUAACCAGAAAGCCACGGCUAACUACGUG